GCGGAAGGAAAGAAACCAACAGGGAUUGCCCUAGUAACGGCGAGUGAAGCGGCAACAGCUCAAAUUUGAAAUCUGGCGUCUUCGGCGUCCGAGUUGUAAUUUGCAGAGGGCGCUUUGGCAUUGGCAGCGGUCCAAGUUCCUUGGAACAGGACGUCACAGAGGGUGAGAAUCCCGUACGUGGUCGCUAGCCUUUACCGUGUAAAGCCCCUUCGACGAGUCGAGUUGUUUGGGAAUGCAGCUCUAAAUGGGAGGUAAAUUUCUUCUAAAGCUAAAUACUGGCCAGAGACCGAUAGCGCACAAGUAGAGUGAUCGAAAGAUGAAAAGCACUUUGGAAAGAGAGUUAAAAAGCACGUGAAAUUGUUGAAAGGGAAGCGCUUGCAGCCAGACUUGCCUGUAGUUGCUCAUCCGGGUUUUUACCCGGUGCACUCUUCUAUAGGCAGGCCAGCAUCAGUUUGGGCGGUUGGAUAAAGGUCUCUGUCAUGUACCUCUCUUCGGGGAGAACUUAUAGGGGAGACGACAUGCAACCAGCCUGGACUGAGGUCCGCGCAUCUGCUAGGAUGCUGGCGUAAUGGCUGUAAGCGGCCCGUCUUGAAACACGGACCAAGGAGUCUAACAUCUAUGCGAGUGUUUGGGUGUCAAGCCCGAGCGCGUAAUGAAAGUGAACGGAGGUGGGAACCUUUCGGGGUGCACCAUCGACCGAUCCUGAUGUCUUCGGAUGGAUUUGAGUAAGAGCAUAGCUGUUGGGACCCGAAAGAUGGUGAACUAUGCUUGAAUAGGGUGAAGCCAGAGGAAACUCUGGUGGAGGCUCGCAGCGGUUCUGACGUGCAAAUCGAUCGUCAAAUUUGGGCAUAGGGGCGAAAGACUAAUCGAACUAUCUAGUAG
This 882-nucleotide ribosomal RNA is filed under the name Didymella glomerata. RNAcentral describes it as "partial large subunit ribosomal RNA". It matches the Rfam family "Eukaryotic large subunit ribosomal RNA", at positions 50 to 950 of the family's 3401-position model. The record is from RNAcentral. Lineage: Eukaryota; Fungi; Ascomycota; Dothideomycetes; Pleosporales; Didymellaceae.